This 389-nucleotide ribosomal RNA is filed under the name uncultured euryarchaeote. RNAcentral's name for it is "bacterial SSU rRNA". It matches the Rfam family "Archaeal small subunit ribosomal RNA", at positions 339 to 727 of the family's 1478-position model. The record is from RNAcentral. Lineage: Archaea; Methanobacteriati; Methanobacteriota.
GCGCGAAAACUUCUCAAUGCACGAAAGUGUGAAGAGGGGAUACUCAGUGCUUACGCUUCUGGCGUAGGCUUUUGUCGAGCGUAGACAGCUCGAUGAAUAAGUGGUGGGCAAGACCGGUGCCAGCCGCCGCGGUAACACCGGCGCCACAAGUGGUCAUCACGAUUAUUGGGCCUAAAGCGUCCGUAGCUGGUGCGGUGCAUCCCUUGUGAAAUCGUUCGGCUUAACCGAACGGCGUGCAGGGGACACGGCCGCGCUCGAGACCGGGAGGGGUCAGAAGUAUUCCAUGGGGACCGGUAAAAUGGGAUAAUCCAUGGAGGACUACCGAUGGCGAAGGCAUCUGACCAGAACGGAUCUGACAGUGAGGGACGAAAGCCAGGGGAGCGAACCGG